Macaca mulatta (Rhesus monkey) is the source of this 2285-nucleotide long non-coding RNA. NCBI's taxonomy places the organism in Eukaryota, Metazoa, Chordata, Mammalia, Primates, Cercopithecidae. The record is from Ensembl.
AGCAGCCAGCACCAUGGAACAAGCACCAUCUUUUCAGGAGCAGCAAUUCCAGAGACAAAACCUGGGGAGAUUUCAGCACUACCGGGUGUGCCUUCUGAACAGCAGGAGUGGGCUUCCAGCUGGAGCCCAGAUGAAGGUUAACUACAGGACAAUUUACCAGUAAGUGGGAGUGGUAUUAGCAAUUACAUUCUGGCUGAGAGUGACUAAUUGCUUCCACCUGGGAAAGCAGAUCCAGCCCCAAAGGAAGGUGAAGGUCAUCGCUGCUCCAGGGUUAGAGCUACAGGAACGGCUGCUCCACAAUGCCACACAUGGUUCUUGCUGCAAGGUCUUUCGCAAAGAACACUGACUGCCUACAUCUCUUGUCUGGGAUGCAGUUCUCUUUCUCCCCAUUCUCCUAGUUUUGUUUUGUUUGCUUUUCCUGAUUUCUAACAUCUGACCUUGUCUGUGCUACUUUCUGCAUCUCUCUUUGUCUUACUGAGUCCCCUGGCAUAUUUCCUCCCUCCUAUCUGUCAUGGACAUGUGAACUAGUGCUGGCCAAUGAGGCAGAAGUGAGUAGCUCCGGGCUGUACUUCCUGUAAGUCUGUUGUAUUAUAUAUGUACCUAUCAAUAUAUUUGUAUAUACAAAUAGGUAUACAACAGCUGACUCAGCUGACACAUAGCUUUUGCUUUAUUCUUACCCCUUCCUCCUGACCAGAAUGGACAAGAGAUUCCCAAGGAUGCAGCAUUCAUAUUCUGGCCUCCAAAGAGAGUCACACGAAAAGGAUGCCAGGGCAGAAUAAUAAAAGGAGCCAGGCCCCUACAGGGCAUUAUGGACGAUUCAACCAGUUCUGGACUUUUCACCUGAGAUUUACUGUAAGGUGAAAAAAAUAGCCUCUAUGUUGUUAAGCUACUGCUGUUGGCUUUCUGCUAUUUGCAGCUAAACUCAGUCCUAACAGAUACAUAAAUCCUUUUCAUUUUUCCAGAGGGUCUUCAGAAAUACUGCCUUGGGUAUCUAACUAUUACUGACUGAAUUGUGCCCCUCUAGAAUUCAUAUGUUGAAGUCCUAACCCCUGAUAAGGGAAUGUGACCAUGUUUGGAGAUAGGGUCUUUAAAAAGGAAAUUACAUUGAAAUGAGCUCAUGAGGGUGGUUCCUAUUCCAGUGUGAUUGGUGUCCUUAUGAAAUGAGGAAACUGGAGCACAGACACAUCCAGAAAGGGAAAAUGAUAUAAAGAGGCAUAGGGAGAAGAUAGUCCCUGAGAAGAAACCAACCCUGCCAACACCUUUAUCUCUGACUUCCAGCCUCCAGAAUCACAAGGAAGGUAAAUUUCUGUUGUUUAAGCCACACCCUCCAUUGUAGCUUAUUUUAAUGGCAGCCCUGACAAACUAACAUAAAGAUCUAUAUUUCCUGACCAUGGGAUCCUCCAUGGUCAGGAAGGGGCUUAGCAGUUGGACCACCUGUAUUAAAAAUGCGUGAGAUUCCUGUUAAAAAAUAGGGUAGAGUUCAGGAAUCUUUAUUUUAACCAGUUUCUCUGGUGAUUCUUAAGUGCUCUAUAGUUUGAGAAUCACUAGUUCAGUUCUUUAAGGUCUUACAGAACACAAAUGAGAUAGAGGAGAAGUUGACAGGCCAGUGACAGGCUGGGGAAUAAGAAGUAUUUGAGGGACAGACAAAGACUGACCUGAGACCAGGAGAGAGAGAGACACUUCAGAGGAACAGUAUGAGCUAAGACUCCAAGGUGGGAAAGAAAUAGGUGUGUUUGGUGGCAAUGAUAAUAGUAAUAAUGAUAGUAAUCUCAACUAGCAUCUUCAUGAUGUCUUAUAACUUACAAAGCAAUUUUAAUUAUAUUAUCUAAUUUAAAUCUUCAACUGUAAGGUGAGAUUUAUAGGUAAGGAUUACAGGUGGAGAUUACCAGUGAAGUUGCAUGUCACCUCAACCCAGUGAGGAAGUUAAUAUUUUAUUAUCUCCAUUCUGCAGGGGGAGACACCAAGUCUACAUACUAGAAACAGUAUAUGCUAGUUGUCAAGGUCUCCAUGGUUUUUUGGGGACAACCAGAAAGCUCUGAUGUGAGCACGACUCCACUUCAUGCUGUAAGUGGCCAGAAGCCAUGAUCCCCUAAAGCACUGCAGCUCUGCCUGCCUUGACAAUGGAGUAGGGAACAGAAUAAAAUAAUCCUAUAAAAUGAUCUCUUGAGAGAGUGAUUGGCUAGAGAGAAGAUAGGAAACAAAGGAAGAAGGUAGCUUCCUCUCUUGCACUUGUGUAUUUUGGACCUACUUUUAAAGGGUCUAUAGUGAAGAGAGCCCAUCAAGCA